RNAcentral lists this ribosomal RNA (253 nucleotides) under uncultured bacterium. RNAcentral describes it as "partial 16S ribosomal RNA". It matches the Rfam family "Bacterial small subunit ribosomal RNA", at positions 524 to 776 of the family's 1533-position model. The record is from RNAcentral.
UACGGGGGGGGCAAGCGUUGUUCGGAAUUACUGGGCGUAAAGGGCUCGUAGGUGGCCAACUAAGUCAGACGUGAAAUCCCUCGGCUUAACCGGGGAACUGCGUCUGAUACUGGAUGGCUAGAGAUUGGGAGAGGGAUGCGGAAUUCCAGGUGUAGUGGUGAAAUGCGCAGAUAUCAGAAGGAACACCAGCGGCGAAGGCGGCUUACUGGUCCGGUUCUGACGCUGAGGCGCGAAAGCGUGGGGAGCAAACAGG